AGGGUUUGAUUCUGGCUCAGGACGAACGCUGGCGGUGCGCCUAAUGCAUGCAAGUCGAACGAGCGACCCGGGCUUGCCCGGUUAGCUAGUGGCAGACGGCUGAGUAACACGUAAGUAAUUUGCCCCGAAGAGGGGGAUAAUCCAGAGAAAUCUGGCCUAAUACCCCGUACCUUUCUUUCCGGCCUGCCGGAUUGAAAGAAAGGCUCCGGCGCUUUGGGAGAAGCUUGCGGCUUAUCAGGUAGUUGGUGGGGUAAUGGCCUACCAAGCCGAAGACGAGUAACCGGUGUGAGAGCACGAUCGGUCAGAGGGGGACUGAGACACGGCCCCCACUCCUACGGGAGGCAGCAGCAGGGAAUCUUGCGCAAUGGGCGAAAGCCUGACGCAGCGACACCGCGUGGAGGAUGAAGGUCUUAGGAUUGUAAACUCCUUUUAUCAGGGAAGAGAGAGGACGGUACCUGAUGAAUAAGGUUCGGCUAACUACGUGCCAGCCGCCGCGGU
RNAcentral lists this ribosomal RNA (498 nucleotides) under uncultured bacterium. Its description in RNAcentral is "bacterial SSU rRNA". It matches the Rfam family "Bacterial small subunit ribosomal RNA", at positions 8 to 521 of the family's 1533-position model. The record is from RNAcentral.